UGGGGAAUUUUGGACAAUGGGGGCAACCCUGAUCCAGCCAUGCCGCGUGCAGGAUGAAGGCCUUCGGGUUGUAAACUGCUUUUGUCAGGGACGAAAAGGUUUCCGCUAAUACCGGAGACUGCUGACGGUACCUGAAGAAUAAGCACCGGCUAACUACGUGCCAGCAGCCGCGGUAAUACGUAGGGUGCAAGCGUUAAUCGGAAUUACUGGGCGUAAAGCGUGCGCAGGCGGUUUCGUAAGACAGAUGUGAAAUCCCCGGGCUUAACCUGGGAAUUGCAUUUGUGACUGCGGGACUAGAGUUUGGCAGAGGGAGGUGGAAUUCCAAGUGUAGCAGUGAAAUGCGUAGAUAUUUGGAAGAACACCGAUGGCGAAGGCAGCCUCCUGGGCCAAGACUGACGCUCAUGCACGAAAGCGUGGGGAGCAAACA
This 427-nucleotide ribosomal RNA is filed under the name uncultured bacterium. Its description in RNAcentral is "bacterial SSU rRNA". It matches the Rfam family "Bacterial small subunit ribosomal RNA", at positions 355 to 774 of the family's 1533-position model. The record is from RNAcentral.